Molecule: ribosomal RNA, 253 nt
Filed under: uncultured bacterium
Lineage: Bacteria
Description: partial 16S ribosomal RNA
Rfam family: Bacterial small subunit ribosomal RNA
Source: RNAcentral
UACAGGGGGGGCAAGCGUUGUUCGGAUUCACUGGGCGUAAAGGGUGCGUAGGUGGUGAGGUAAGUCGGAUGUGAAAGCUCGGAGCUCAACUCCGAAAUGGCAUUGGAAACUACCUUGCUCGAGGGUUGGAGGGGGGACUGGAAUUCUCGGUGUAGCAGUGAAAUGCGUAGAUAUCGAGAGGAACACCAGUGGCGAAGGCGAGUCCCUGGACAACUCCUGACACUGAGGCACGAAAGCUAGGGGAGCAAACAGG